RNAcentral lists this ribosomal RNA (242 nucleotides) under uncultured bacterium. Its description in RNAcentral is "partial 16S ribosomal RNA". It matches the Rfam family "Bacterial small subunit ribosomal RNA", at positions 333 to 589 of the family's 1533-position model. The record is from RNAcentral.
UAAUGCCUACGGGGGGCAGCAGUGGGGAAUAUUGGGCAAUGGGCGCAAGCCUGACCCAGCAACGCCGCGUGAAGGAAGAAGGCUUUCGGGUUGUAAACUUCUUUUCUCAGGGGCGAAGCAAGUGGCGGUACCUGAGGAAUAAGCCACGGCUAACUACGUGCCAGCAGCCGCGGUAAUACGUAGGUGGCAAGCGUUAUCCGGAUUUACUGGGUGUAAAGGGCGUGUAGGCGGGGAAGCAAGUC